This 21-nucleotide non-coding RNA is filed under the name Arabidopsis thaliana (thale cress). Lineage: Eukaryota; Viridiplantae; Streptophyta; Magnoliopsida; Brassicales; Brassicaceae. The record is from RNAcentral.
UCAGAUUCAGAUGAGAGUGUC